UGCAAAGUGUUCAGUCAUUUUUGCAGUUAUAUAAGGAUAAAGAAAAAUACUCUGUACUUGAAAACCAAUUUAAAUUGCUUUUCUUCUACCGAAUAGUAACUUUAAGUGGCUUGUUUGAGGAAGUUUAAUAGUUGCAUCUCACCAGCCCCCCAAAUAGCAGUUUUAUCUUGACAAAUAGCCUGUUGUUGAUCUCAAUGCUCUGCUUUCUUUAUUCCCUUUUUUUGCAGGUUUUAUAAAAGAGAGUGCAGAGCAGUAGGCAGUGGUAGAAGCUGAGUCGGGGUCUGAGUGCUCCAGUGCACUGACUGUCUGACAUACAGAGUCUUGCUAAGUUAUCCUGGCUGGCCUCAAACUUGUGAUCUUCUCUCAGCCUUCCAGAUAGCUUGGAUUCCAGGAGCACACAGCACUGUACCCUAUAAGGAUGGC
RNAcentral lists this long non-coding RNA (423 nucleotides) under Heterocephalus glaber (naked mole-rat). RNAcentral describes it as "lncRNA (ENSHGLG00100034924.1)". Lineage: Eukaryota; Metazoa; Chordata; Mammalia; Rodentia; Bathyergidae. The record is from RNAcentral.